UGAGUAACCUGCCCUUCACUCUGGGAUAACUCCGGGAAACCGGGGCUAAUACUGGAUAUGACUCGAACAGGCAUCUGUUUCGGGUGGAAAGAUUUAUUGGUGGGGGAUGGACUCGCGGCCUAUCAGCUUGUUGGUGGGGUGAUGGCCUACCAAGGCGACGACGGGUAGCCGGCCUGAGAGGGCGAUCGGCCACACUGGGACUGAGACACCGGCCCAGACUCCGUACGGGAGGCA
This 234-nucleotide ribosomal RNA is filed under the name uncultured bacterium. RNAcentral describes it as "partial 16S ribosomal RNA". It matches the Rfam family "Bacterial small subunit ribosomal RNA", at positions 118 to 350 of the family's 1533-position model. The record is from RNAcentral.